This is a non-coding RNA of Crucibulum laeve, 95 nucleotides long. NCBI's taxonomy places the organism in Eukaryota, Fungi, Basidiomycota, Agaricomycetes, Agaricales, Nidulariaceae. The record is from the annotation of a GenBank genome assembly.
GGCUCGGUGGCGGAAUGGCGACGCAUCUGUAGGCUUUAUGUCUAAUGCUGUGUGUAUAUAAGUAGAAGACGCCUGUUCGAAUCAGGCCCGAGUCA